CGAGGGUAGGCGCAGAGGAAAUC
This 23-nucleotide microRNA is filed under the name Marek's disease virus serotype 2 MDV2. RNAcentral describes it as "mdv2-miR-M28-3p". Its record names the gene mdv2-miR-M28-3p. The record is from miRBase by way of RNAcentral. Lineage: Duplodnaviria; Heunggongvirae; Peploviricota; Herviviricetes; Herpesvirales; Orthoherpesviridae.